UGGUCAUUUUGCCAACCGGGUGUCUGCACUAAGUUCGGCAUCAAUCUGGUGACCUACUGGGAGCAGGGGGCCACCGGGUUGCCUAAGGAUGAGUGAACUGGCCCAGAUCAGAAAGGGAGCAGUUCAGAACUCCCACACCGACCGGUAGUGGGACUGUGCCUGGGCAAUAUAGCA
Unclassified non-coding RNA from Papio anubis (olive baboon), 174 nucleotides. It matches the Rfam family "Metazoan signal recognition particle RNA". Rfam says of the family: The signal recognition particle (SRP) is a universally conserved ribonucleoprotein. It is involved in the co-translational targeting of proteins to membranes. The record is from Ensembl. NCBI's taxonomy places the organism in Eukaryota, Metazoa, Chordata, Mammalia, Primates, Cercopithecidae.